GACGAACGCUGGCGGCGUGCUUAACACAUGCAAGUCGAACGGAAAGGCCCUGCUUUUGUGGGGUGCUCGAGUGGCGAACGGGUGAGUAACACGUGAGUAACCUGCCCUUGACUUUGGGAUAACUUCAGGAAACUGGGGCUAAUACCGGAUAGGAGCUCCUGCUGCAUGGUGGGGGUUGGAAAGUUUCGGCGGUUGGGGAUGGACUCGCGGCUUAUCAGCUUGUUGGUGGGGUAGUGGCUUACCAAGGCUUUGACGGGUAGCCGGCCUGAGAGGGUGACCGGCCACAUGGGGACUGAGAUACGGCCCAGAAUCCUACGGGCGGCAGCAGGGGGAAAUAUUGCACAAUGGGCGGAAGCCUGAUGCAGCAACGCCGCGUGCGGGAUGACGGCCUUCGGGUUGUAAACCGCUUUCGCCUGUGACGAAGCGUGAGUGACGGUAAUGGGUAAAGAAGCAACGGCUAACUACGUG
This 468-nucleotide ribosomal RNA is filed under the name uncultured bacterium. RNAcentral describes it as "partial 16S ribosomal RNA". It matches the Rfam family "Bacterial small subunit ribosomal RNA", at positions 28 to 507 of the family's 1533-position model. The record is from RNAcentral.